GACGAACCGUGCGAACGUUGUUCGGAUUCACUGGGCUUAAAGGGCGCGUAGGCGGGCGACCAAGUCCGGGGUGAAAUCUUUCGGCUCAACCGGAAAAGUGCCUUGGAUACUGGUCGUCUCGAGGGAGGUAGGGGCAUGCGGAACUUCCGGUGGAGCGGUGAAAUGCGUAGAUAUCGGAAGGAACGCCGGUGGCGAAAGCGGCGUGCUGGACCUCUGCUGACGCUGAGGCGCGAAAGCCAGGGGAGCGAACGGG
This 253-nucleotide ribosomal RNA is filed under the name uncultured bacterium. RNAcentral describes it as "partial 16S ribosomal RNA". It matches the Rfam family "Bacterial small subunit ribosomal RNA", at positions 524 to 776 of the family's 1533-position model. The record is from RNAcentral.